CGAGCCGACCGGGCGAUCGCGGCGCGCAGGCGUCGAGGAAAGUCCGGGCUCCACAGGGCAGGGUGGUGGGUAACACCCACCCGGGGUGACCCGCGGGACAGUGCCACAGAAAGCAGACCGCCGGCCGGGACUACGUGCCGACCGGUAAGGGUGAAACGGCGGUGUAAGAGACCACCAGCGUCGCAGGCGACUGCGGCGGCUCGGCAAACCCCACCCGGAGCAAGACCAAGCGGGCCCGCAAGGGCCUAGGCAGGAGAGCGGCCCGCUCGGCCUCGGGGAGACCCGGGGCCCAUCCUGCUGGUAGGUCGCAGGAGGUCGUCGGCAACGGCGAUCCCAGAGGGAUGAUCGCCCCUCGCGCGAGCGAGGACAGAACCCGGCUUAUAGGUCGACUCGUCCG
RNAcentral lists this RNase P RNA (397 nucleotides) under Actinomycetota bacterium. Its description in RNAcentral is "Actinobacteria bacterium (freshwater metagenome) RNase P RNA component class A". It matches the Rfam family "Bacterial RNase P class A". From Rfam's summary of the family: Ribonuclease P (RNase P) is a ubiquitous endoribonuclease, found in archaea, bacteria and eukarya as well as chloroplasts and mitochondria. Its best characterised activity is the generation of mature 5'-ends of tRNAs by cleaving the 5'-leader elements of precursor-tRNAs. Lineage: Bacteria; Bacillati; Actinomycetota. The record is from RNAcentral.